Molecule: ribosomal RNA, 447 nt
Filed under: uncultured bacterium
Lineage: Bacteria
Description: bacterial SSU rRNA
Rfam family: Bacterial small subunit ribosomal RNA
Source: RNAcentral
UCGGGAAUUUUGGGCAAUGGGCGAAAGCCUGACCCAGCAACGCCGCGUGAAGGAUGAAGUAUUUCGGUAUGUAAACUUCGAAAGAAUAGGAAGAAUAAAUGACGGUACUAUUUAUAAGGUCCGGCUAACUACGUGCCAGCAGCCGCGGUAAUACGUAGGGUGCAAGCGUUGUCCGGAUUUAUUGGGUUUAAAGGGUGCGUAGGCGGUUUAUUAAGUCAGUGGUGAAAGACGGUCGCUCAACGAUUGCAGUGCCAUUGAUACUGGUAGACUUGAGUAUGAUUGAGGUAGCUGGAAUGGAUAGUGUAGCGGUGAAAUGCAUAGAUAUUAUCCAGAACACCAAUUGCGUAGGCAAGUUACUAAGUCAUAACUGACGCUGAGGCACGAAAGUGUGGGUAUCAAACAGGAUUAGAUACCCAAGUAGUCCCUGAGCGGGCUGGCAAGGCGCAU